This 221-nucleotide unclassified non-coding RNA is filed under the name Hevea brasiliensis (rubber tree). Lineage: Eukaryota; Viridiplantae; Streptophyta; Magnoliopsida; Malpighiales; Euphorbiaceae. The record is from RNAcentral.
AAGUGAAGUUUAUUGUCGACAUGGUAUUUCGGAACCCUUUUUAAAUAAUUUUCUGACUACAUUUGCCUUUAGGAGCUUGUGAUCAUGUGAUUUCUUUGUUUCCCUUCGGCAAUCAGAAAAAUAUUGCUUAGAUUUUGUUUCUGUCUAAAAAAAAUUAAGGCCUUCAUCAAUGAGAAAAUAAACUUUCCCUAAUCUUAAUCUUUUCAUUAUUUUUUUUCUUU